This 404-nucleotide ribosomal RNA is filed under the name Polypheretima sp. Pulag. RNAcentral's name for it is "partial 12S rRNA". It matches the Rfam family "Bacterial small subunit ribosomal RNA", at positions 875 to 1489 of the family's 1533-position model. The record is from RNAcentral. Lineage: Eukaryota; Metazoa; Annelida; Clitellata; Crassiclitellata; Megascolecidae.
UAGAUACCCGUCUAUUCAUGACAUAAACAAAAGUCAAAUAUUACGAACAGAAGUUUAAAAUUCAAAGAUUUUGGCGGUGUCUUAUAAAACCAGGGGAACCUGUCUCAUAACUCGAUAAUCCCCGCACACCAAACCUUCUCUAGACAUCAGCCUGUAUACUGCCGUUGUAAGUAUACCUUUAAAAGAGCUAGUAUACCACUAUGCACCCAUAUACAUCAGGUCAAAGUGCAGCCGAUAAGAAGGUGAUGAUGGGUUACAACCCCAAAAUAGACUAUCAACUAAGAAAUAAAAAAUCUUAUGAAAGUGGACUUGGCCGUAAUUUAUAGACAAAAUAGAAAAAUGAAUAAACCUCUAAGACAUGCACACAUCGCCCGUCACUCUACCCUAAAGGCUAGAUAAGUCGU